GCCCAGCGCUGAAUCCUGUGGCCACUGGUCACUGGGAACUGUGGCGUAUAGGUGCAGCUUUUCGACAGUUUUUGCUCACCCAAAGUUCCCUUGAGUGGGGCUAUUGUCCAUAGAGGGUGCUAGGCCUGUACGGGUGGCAAAGCUGACGAUUCGGUUGCUCCUUGGAGUCGAGUUGCCUGGGAACGCAGCUCAAAGUAGGUGGUAAACCUCAUCUAAGGCUAAAUAUGACCACGAGACCGAUAGCAAACAAGUACCGUGAGGGAAAGUUGCAAAGAACUUUGAAGAGAGAGUUCAAGAGGGCGUGAAACCGCUGAGAAUGAAACGGAUAGAGUUAACGAAACACAGUGGCAUUCAUCCGAGCCAUGCGUCGUUGUCGGUUGCAUUGGUUGCACUGUGCCCCUUCACUGGGACGCAGGAGCCGUGUAGCCUGUCGAUGACUGUGAUCGGUGCUUUUGUCACUGGUAUGCGCUGAGGAGUUUGCUGUGGUGCGCUGCCGCCAUUCCAAGAUCGCCAUACUCUUAUGGGUGUGGAAUGUUUGGGUGGUUUUUGGAGGCGUAUCCGCGGCGAACGCUGCUUUAGCAGUUGUGCUACGCCGGCUAGUUUGCGCGUAAUGUGCUGCUGUGUGAUUGGUGUGGCUGUUGGGCGGUCGCAUGCGACUUGCUUACAGUUGACGCUAGUCCACGGGUGGUGCUGUCGCGUUGGCGUUAGCAUCUCGGUGUAAAAGUUGGCCACCUAUCCGACCCGUCUUGAAACACGGACCAAGGAGUUUAGCAUAUGCGCAAGUCAUUGGGUGGCAAAUCCAAAGGCGUAAUGAAAGUAAAGGUCGCUUUUAGUGACUGAUAUGGGAUCCGUGCAUUUGUACGGCGCACCAUAGCCCCGUCCUCGUUGCUUGCAAUAGGGCGGAGGUAGAGCGCAUACGCUGAGACCCGAAAGAUGGUGAACUAUGCCUGAGCAGGAUGAAGCCAGAGGAAACUCUGGUGGAAGUCCGAAGCGGUUCUGACGUGCAAAUCGAUCGUCUGACUUGGGUAU
This 1029-nucleotide ribosomal RNA is filed under the name Buzionema validum. RNAcentral's name for it is "partial large subunit ribosomal RNA". It matches the Rfam family "Eukaryotic large subunit ribosomal RNA", at positions 107 to 918 of the family's 3401-position model. Lineage: Eukaryota; Metazoa; Nematoda; Chromadorea; Rhabditida; Thelastomatidae. The record is from RNAcentral.